This 419-nucleotide ribosomal RNA is filed under the name bacterium. RNAcentral's name for it is "partial 16S ribosomal RNA". It matches the Rfam family "Bacterial small subunit ribosomal RNA", at positions 355 to 776 of the family's 1533-position model. The record is from RNAcentral.
UGGGGGAUAUUGCACAAUGGGCGAAAGCCUGAUGCAGCGACGCCGCGUGGGGGAUGAAGGCUUUCGGGUUGUAAACCUCUUUCGCUAUCGAACAAGGCCCGCUUAGGGUGGGUUGAGGGUAGGUGGAGAAGAAGCGCCGGCUAACUACGUGCCAGCAGCCGCGGUAAUACGUAGGGCGCGAGCGUUGUCCGGAAUUAUUGGGCGUAAGGGCUUGUAGGCGGCUUGUUGCGCCUGCUGUGAAAACGCGGGGCUUAACUUCGCGCGUGCAGUGGGUACGGGCAGGCUUGAGUGUGGUAGGGGUGACUGGAAUUCCAGGUGUAGCGGUGGAAUGCGCAGAUAUCUGGAGGAACACCGAUGGCGAAGGCAGGUCACUGGGCCAUUACUGACGCUGAGGAGCGAAAGCAUGGGUAGCGAACAGG